This 306-nucleotide long non-coding RNA is filed under the name Parus major (Great Tit). RNAcentral describes it as "lncRNA (ENSPMJG00000012956.1)". The record is from RNAcentral. Lineage: Eukaryota; Metazoa; Chordata; Aves; Passeriformes; Paridae.
CAUUCUGGGAUGGCAGCUGGCAACAAAGAGAUGAUCCCCAGAUAGUCCCUCGACUGCCUAAGAUGGAAUUAGAAGCUUAUAAACAGUAUCUUUCUACAGAUCAGAAAUCAAAUGACAGUGUGACUGGCAAUGGAAAAGAUUCCAUUUUCAGAAUUUGGCUGUUACAGACCUCCUCUGAUAAACUGCAAAACUCAAGGUCACUGCCAGCCUGCUGGAGACCUGCCGCUGCUGCUGCUGUGUGGGGUCACCAGCGGUGGGUACCACUGCCCUGAUGCUGCCGUUCACCAAAAGAAUCGGGGCCACAUU